Molecule: small RNA, 75 nt
Filed under: Xanthomonas campestris pv. incanae
Lineage: Bacteria; Pseudomonadati; Pseudomonadota; Gammaproteobacteria; Lysobacterales; Lysobacteraceae
Description: sX9 sRNA
Rfam family: Xanthomonas sRNA sX9
Source: RNAcentral
AUGUACCCACGUACAUUCCGGUUCCUCCGCGCCGUGCGCACGCACCUGACGACUGCUCGCUACGUUUUUUUAGCC